This 354-nucleotide ribosomal RNA is filed under the name Escherichia coli. Its description in RNAcentral is "bacterial LSU rRNA". It matches the Rfam family "Bacterial large subunit ribosomal RNA", at positions 1 to 382 of the family's 2925-position model. Lineage: Bacteria; Pseudomonadati; Pseudomonadota; Gammaproteobacteria; Enterobacterales; Enterobacteriaceae. RNAcentral also lists the same sequence under 1 other name. The record is from RNAcentral.
GGGUUGUGAGGUUAAGCGACUAAGCGUACACGGUGGAUGCCCUGGCAGUCAGAGGCGAUGAAGGACGUGCUAAUCUGCGAUAAGCGUCGGUAAGGUGAUAUGAACCGUUAUAACCGGCGAUUUCCGAAUGGGGAAACCCAGUGUGAUUCGUCACACUAUCAUUAACUGAAUCCAUAGGUUAAUGAGGCGAACCGGGGGAACUGAAACAUCUAAGUACCCCGAGGAAAAGAAAUCAACCGAGAUUCCCCCAGUAGCGGCGAGCGAACGGGGAGCAGUCCAGAGCCUGAAUCAGUGUGUGUGUUAGUGGAAGCGUCUGGAAAGGCGCGCGAUACAGGGUGACAGCCCCGUACACAA